Molecule: long non-coding RNA, 702 nt
Organism: Portunus trituberculatus (swimming crab)
Lineage: Eukaryota; Metazoa; Arthropoda; Malacostraca; Decapoda; Portunidae
Exons: 3
Source: RefSeq, a predicted model, not a curated record
AUGGGUUGGUGUGUGGCCGGGUCGGGUUCGUCAGCUCAUACUGCUAUUUCAGUUUUCGUAGUGAUCCAUGCGAUGCUUCGCCUAUCGGCGGAGUGACGUGAAGCACUGAGUUGUGCGAUGUAGCUUUGAGGGAGGCUCCCAGUCCCAGCGUUGACUCAAGGGCAAGAAAGGCAAGUCCUUUAUAUUUCCCCUUGGCACAAGGACGGAGAGAUACAACACAACAAAGAUGAAGUAAAAGGAUGGAAAGAGGAAUAGAACAAUACGAAGGCUACGAAACUUAUACCAGGAUCAAGAUAAUGUCACCGCCAGGAGCUUAUAUAGCAUUUCAUAGCCUUCCGUGCUCUUGUUAACCCCCAGUUUUUCUUGUGGGGUACUAAUUCUGAUGAGUGAUAAGUGUGAACUGUGGCAUAUGGCAGUGAAUGGUUUAAGGGUCUACACACAAUUUGAAGGGUUUCUUCUUCCUGCAGCAGCUGUGGUACAUAUGCAUGGCGGUGUUUUCCUACCAAUUGUAUCUUUAUUGUUCUUUAUUGCUCGAAUUCCUGUAAGUUUUGAGUCAACAACAGUAUCUUACUGGGAUGAGACUAUGACCUGUAUUCUUAAAUGUUCUUGACUGUAUUAGAAUGAUAUUUAAGAGCUACAGAAAGAGUCAAUCUUAUUUAUGAUACAGAAUCUUUAACAAACCAUCAGUACAGGAAAACAUGU